RNAcentral lists this transfer RNA (75 nucleotides) under Saprospiraceae bacterium. RNAcentral describes it as "tRNA-His". It matches the Rfam family "tRNA". Rfam says of the family: Transfer RNA (tRNA) molecules are approximately 80 nucleotides in length. Their secondary structure includes four short double-helical elements and three loops (D, anti-codon, and T loops). Lineage: Bacteria; Pseudomonadati; Bacteroidota; Saprospiria; Saprospirales; Saprospiraceae. The record is from RNAcentral.
GUGGCUUUAGUUUAACUGGUAAAAUGCCGCGUUGUGGGCGCGGAGAACAGGGUUCGAGGCCCGAAUGCCACCCCA